GGGAUAGAAUUCCAGGAGUAGCGGUGAAAUGCGUAGAUAUCUGGAGGAAUACCAAAGGCGAAGGCAGUCCCCUGGUCCGAUACUGACACUGAGGUACGAAAGCGUGGGGAGCAAACAGGAUUAGAUACCCUGGUAGUCCACGCCCUAAACGAUGUCGAUUAGCCAUUGGAAGGACCCCUUUUCCUUUCAGUGACUAGCUAACGCGUUAAAUCGACCGCCUGGGAAGUACGACCGCAAGGUUAAAACUCAAAGGAAUUGACGGGGACCUGAACAAGCGGUGAAUGAUGUGGAUUAAUUCGAUGCUACGCGAAGAACCUUACCUACCUUUGACAUGGCCAAAGUUCUACCGAGAGGCGGAAGUACUCGUAAGAGGAUUGGCGCACAGGUGCUGCAUGGUUGUCGUCAGUUCGUGUCGUGAGAUGUUGGGUUCAGUCCCGCAACGAACGCAACCCUUAUCUUUAAUUGCUCCUAUUUUAACAGGCACUUUAAAGAAACUGCCAAUGAUAAGUUGGAGGAAGGUGGGGAUCACGUCAAGUCCGCAUGGCCUUUAUAGGUAGGGCUUCACACGUCAUACAAUGGUUAGAACAAAGAGCUGCAAAUUCGUAAGAAGGAGCCAAUCUCACAAACCUAACCUCAGUUCGAAUUGCGGUCUGCAACUCGAGCGCAUGAAGCCGGAAUCGCUAGUAAUCGUGGAUCAGAAUGCCACGGUGAAUACGUUCUUAGGUCUU
This 728-nucleotide ribosomal RNA is filed under the name Candidatus Tremblayella phenacoccinincola. RNAcentral describes it as "bacterial SSU rRNA". It matches the Rfam family "Bacterial small subunit ribosomal RNA", at positions 658 to 1382 of the family's 1533-position model. Lineage: Bacteria; Pseudomonadati; Pseudomonadota; Betaproteobacteria. The record is from RNAcentral.